UGCCAAGAACCGUGAGGAAACUGUCUCCCCUUACGGAUCGGGCGAAAUAAAACACGAAGGAG
RNAcentral lists this non-coding RNA (62 nucleotides) under unclassified sequences. RNAcentral describes it as "L20-Deltaproteobacteria ribosomal protein leader". It matches the Rfam family "L20-Deltaproteobacteria ribosomal protein leader". The record is from RNAcentral.